This 301-nucleotide ribosomal RNA is filed under the name uncultured bacterium. RNAcentral's name for it is "partial 16S ribosomal RNA". It matches the Rfam family "Bacterial small subunit ribosomal RNA", at positions 509 to 807 of the family's 1533-position model. The record is from RNAcentral.
CAGUCGCCACGGUAAUACGUAGGGUGCGAGCGUUAAUCGGAAUUACUGGGCGUAAAGCGUGCGCAGGCGGUUAUAUAAGACAGAUGUGAAAUCCCCGGGCUCAACCUGGGACCUGCAUUUGUGACUGUAUAGCUAGAGUACGGUAGAGGGGGAUGGAAUUCCGCGUGUAGCAGCGAAAUGCGUAGAUAUGCGGAGGAACACCGAUGGCGAAGGCAAUCCCCUGGACCUGUACUGACGCUCAUGCACGAAAGCGUGGGGAGCAAACAGGAUUAGAUACCCGUGUAGUCCCUGUCUCUUAUAC